Molecule: ribosomal RNA, 804 nt
Filed under: Pristimantis petersi
Lineage: Eukaryota; Metazoa; Chordata; Amphibia; Anura; Strabomantidae
Description: partial large subunit ribosomal RNA
Rfam family: Bacterial large subunit ribosomal RNA
Source: RNAcentral
GACCCCUUUAACCGUACUGAGAACUUCUAUAAACUUAUAGAACCUUUUCUGCUAAAACUAGUAACAAGAGUAUUAUCCCUCUCUUUAAUGCAAACAUAACCCAGCAAGAACCAAUCACUGGCAAUUAACAGACGUAAUGUAGCAACUUCACCAGAAAACCCUACUAUCACCCCUAUUAACCUAACACCAGAGCAUUUCAAGAAAGAUUAAAAGAAAAAGAAGGAAUUCCGCAAACAUAGCCUCGCCUGUUUACCAAAAACAUCGCCUCUUGCCCACACCUAUAAGAGGUCCAGCCUGCCCAGUGACUCUGUUCAACGGCCGCGGUAUCCUAACCGUGCAAAGGUAGCGUAAUCACUUGUCUUCUAAAUAAAGACCAGUAUGAAAGGCAUCACGAGGGCUAAACUGUCUCCUUUCUCUAAUCAGUGAACCUAAUCCCCCCGUGAAGAAACGGGGAUUUCAAUAUAAGACGAGAAGACCCUAUGGAGCUUUAAACAUCAUGACACCUGCUAACUUUAAAUACUCCCGAUCUCUAACACAAUAGCAUGCUGAUUAUAAGUUUUUGGUUGGGGUGACCGCGGAGAAAAACCAACCCUCCGCGAUGAAAGGGGUCCUCCCCUAAACUAUAAGCCACAACUUUACGUAUAAACAAAUUAACAUCAUUGACCUAAUAUUUAACCAACGAACCAAGUUACCCUAGGGAUAACAGCGCAAUCCACUUUAAGAGCUCCUAUCGACAAGUGGGCUUACGACCUCGAUGUUGGAUCGGGAUACCCUAGUGGUGCAGCCGCUACUUAAGGUUCGUUU